CUCUCUUCUCUUUCUCUCUUAGUCACUUGCUCUGUGAGAAACCAGCUGCCAUAUUGUGAGCAGCCUGUGCAGAGGGACAUGUGUCAAGGAACUAAUGUCUCACACAGUAGAAAUAAAUGGAGACAGACCAAACGAGGAUUAAGCCAAAGCUAUUUAUUUAUUUAGAGUUUGUCAUAUACAAGGAAGUCAGCCAUGUCACUUGCAUUUUGUUAAACUCAAAAAGCAGGAAGAGGAGUAAGAACAUUUUAGAGUUGGAAAAAAAGAAGGCAUCAGGUGUGCCCUGAUUGAAGUCUUCUGGCAUAGGAAAACAGUAGCUGUGAAAUGAAGAGAUUGAGUGAGACCAUCUGUCAUUUCUAUGAUUUUAUGCUCAACUAUCCUCUUGGGAAGCCAAGAUUUCAGCUGAGAAAGAAAAAUGUCCUUGAGAUCCAAGGACAAGAUGACCUCAGAUAUGGGACGAUUUUGCAACUUCCUCAGAGACAAGUUUCCAAGCAUUUAUACAUCUUCUUCCUCUCUGGAAACAUCAUUUAUACCCUGACUUUCAACAAUUGAAUUUGAGUUCCAUCCUGGCCUUAUUUCCCUGGAGAAGCAGGUGGGGAUCUCUGUACUGACUUGGUCAUAAAAUUUUGCCAAUUAAUUUGGAACAAAGCUAUUAAGGUCAAGAUUCUUCAGAUGAUUAGAAAUUUCCAUAAUGCAAUCCAAUUUUUGAAGCCUUUGAGGAUAUUUAAUCCUGAUUAUUGUGAUUAACAUGUAAAUAUAAGCAUGCCAAAUAAACAUUAUGAGAAAUA
Non-coding RNA from Ictidomys tridecemlineatus (thirteen-lined ground squirrel), 785 nucleotides. NCBI's taxonomy places the organism in Eukaryota, Metazoa, Chordata, Mammalia, Rodentia, Sciuridae. The record is from RefSeq and is a predicted model, not a curated record.